RNAcentral lists this transfer RNA (67 nucleotides) under uncultured Nocardiopsis sp. It matches the Rfam family "tRNA". Rfam says of the family: Transfer RNA (tRNA) molecules are approximately 80 nucleotides in length. Their secondary structure includes four short double-helical elements and three loops (D, anti-codon, and T loops). Lineage: Bacteria; Bacillati; Actinomycetota; Actinomycetes; Streptosporangiales; Nocardiopsidaceae. The record is from RNAcentral.
CCGGUAGCUCAGUUGGUUAGAGCAGGGGACUCAUAAUCCCUGGGUCGCGGGUUCGAGUCCUGCCCGG